This 46-nucleotide small RNA is filed under the name Salvator merianae (Argentine black and white tegu). RNAcentral describes it as "7SK RNA (ENSSMRG00000017092.1)". Lineage: Eukaryota; Metazoa; Chordata; Lepidosauria; Squamata; Teiidae. The record is from RNAcentral.
CACCCCAUUGAUUUCCAGGGUUGAUAUGGCUCAUCUGGAUGGCUGG